GAUGAACGCUGGCGGCGUGCUUAACACAUGCAAGUCGAACGAGAAAUGGAGACGGAAACCUUCGGGCGGAAGGCUUCAUUUCGAGUGGCGGACGGGUGAGUAACGCGUGGGUAACCUGCCUCAUACAGGGGGAUAACAGUUGGAAACGACUGUUAAUACCGCAUAAGACCACAGCACCGCAUGGUGCGGGGGUAAAAACUCCGGUGGUAUGAGAUGGACCCGCGUUCGAUUAGCCAGUUGGCGGGGUAACGGCCCACCAAAGCGACGAUCGAUAGCCGAUCUGAGAGGAUGACCGGCCACAUUGGGACUGAGACACGGCCCAAACUCCUACGGGAGGCAGCAGUGGGGAAUAUUGCACAAUGGGGGAAACCCUGAUGCAGCGACGCCGCGUGAGUGAAGAAGUACUUCGGUAUGUAAAGCUCUAUCAGCAGGGAAGAAAAUGACGGUACCUGAGUAAGAAGCCCCGGCUAACUACGU
RNAcentral lists this ribosomal RNA (477 nucleotides) under uncultured bacterium. RNAcentral describes it as "partial 16S ribosomal RNA". It matches the Rfam family "Bacterial small subunit ribosomal RNA", at positions 28 to 506 of the family's 1533-position model. The record is from RNAcentral.